Molecule: non-coding RNA, 25 nt
Filed under: Mus musculus (house mouse)
Lineage: Eukaryota; Metazoa; Chordata; Mammalia; Rodentia; Muridae
Source: RNAcentral
UGGGUCUGUUCAGAAAGCUACUUAG